UAAGGAAUAUUGGGCAAUGGACGCAAGUCUGACCCAGCCAUGCCGCGUGAAGGAAGAAGGCCCUAGUGGUCGUAAACUUCUUUUAUAUGGGAAAAAUUCUCGGGUCGUGAAUCCGGGUUGAUGGUACUAUAUGAAUAAGCAUCGGCUAACUCCGUGCCAGCAGCCGCGGUAAUACGGAGGAUGCAAGCGUUAUCCGGAUUUAUUGGGUUUAAAGGGUGCGUAGGCGGGACGAUAAGUCAGUGGUGAAAUCCUACGGCUUAACUGUAGAAUUGCCAUUGAUACUGUCGUUCUUGAGUGCAGCUGAAGAGGGCGGAAUGUGUUGUGUAGCGGUGAAAUGCUUAGAUAUAACACAGAACACCGAUUGCGAAGGCAGCUCUCUAAACUGCAACUGACGCUGAGGCACGAAAGCGUGGGGAUCAAACAGG
Molecule: ribosomal RNA, 425 nt
Filed under: uncultured bacterium
Lineage: Bacteria
Description: bacterial SSU rRNA
Rfam family: Bacterial small subunit ribosomal RNA
Source: RNAcentral